This is a non-coding RNA of Podarcis lilfordi (Lilford's wall lizard), 77 nucleotides long. The record is from the annotation of a GenBank genome assembly. Lineage: Eukaryota; Metazoa; Chordata; Lepidosauria; Squamata; Lacertidae.
GCCUGGAUAGCUCAGUUGGUUAGAGUGUGGUGCUGAUAACGACAAGGUCGCAGGUUUGAUCCCCAUAUGAGAAAGCU